UUAUGGAGUUGGCGUUCUGUACAGAGUUGUCAAUUCCUUUUCCAAUGGGCGUAGUUAAAUACCUUCUCACCAUUAUUUUGAUUUACGCUAAAUGGAUACGGUUUCAUUAGUUGUUUGCUAAAUCGAAAAGCCGAAUCCCCAAUAAUGAAUACUGGCACAUUUACGCCUGAAAUUUCUCUAGACAUUGCGCUUAGUAAAGGACAACUAUCCAUUUCUUUUUUAAGUGAUGACGUCUCAUACGACUUCCUACGUUUAUCAAGCACUUCAUUGCUUAAUACACCCCCAAUACUCUAUGUGCCUGAAAGGAACUGGAGAAUACCGGAAACCGAACCUGUUGGCCAAAUUAUUACUAGAAUACGUGCUGAAGAUCCAGAAAACGAUGACAUGGUUUUUGGCCUUGAACCACAUUUUCUAUCUAAUUUUAACAAUAAUAAUGAUAAGGAAAAUUUACCUUUUCGUAUAGAUUCAGUCAGAGGAAUAGUUUACUUGAACGAAAGUUUGAUUGGGAGAGGUGGCGAAAACUUUUUUCUAUAUAUCACUGUAACAGAUGGAGACUUAACUGCUAAAAAUGAAGUAUUUGUUAACAUCCUCGCUAAGGAGAACGAUACCUCGUCUAAUUUUCGCGCGCCGCCAUCAGUUACGAAUGUUGUACAAAAUAUUUCUCAAAUACUACCACCUUUUGACACCUUACCAGGAGUACAGUCAGUACGAAAUAAAUAUUCGAAAGAACGUCCAACCAAUCACAUACCUUUAAAUUUCGAUUCCAAUCAAGGUUUAUUUGAACUAAAUCAUAAGCAUAAAUUUCUACGCCCGCUUAAUAGCAAUAACAAUGAACAAACACGACCAACAGGUCGUUUGAAAUUGACGCCAAUAACUACUAUACAACAUGAAUACAAACACAAUCAAAACGACUCAAUUUUACAUUUAAAUAAAACUCAAUCUGCCAUCACUGUCAAUGAUGAUUCCAUAAAAAUAUUAAAAGAUAAGAUCUCAUACGAUGAAAGUUUGAGUACUAAUUAUUCGACAAAAACAAUCGUGCUUCCAAUUAUAUUUACUUCUUCAUGCAUAUUUUUGGUAGCUAUUGUCAUUUUUGGUUUUCUAUAUCGAAAACAUUUGUGCGCCAUUAGUAAAAAAUUAAAAAAAAAAUCUAAAGAGGAAAUGUUUAAGAAAUCUAAUCAAGACAAUCUAAGUAACAAUUUAGCUGACAAUGGCAGAAAUUCAAUGGUAAUGCAACAUUGGAAUGGCCCUACUGCCUACAACAAUCGCUACGUGCCAUGGGAGAGAGAUCCUCAACAGAAUGGAUUGGUAACAUCACAACUGUCGUCAAAUGCCACCAACGGAGCUAUACACGAUGACGAUACUAAUGUGACAAAUAACAUUAAUGAACUACAAAGUAUUACUGAUAAUGUUAUUGGUUUUUCGAUAAAUGCCUCCCAAAAUGCAGUUGAUAACUCAACCUUUAAUAUGAAUGGCAAAUGUUGUUGGGAGUUCCCGAGGCACCGACUUAAAUUCUUCAAUAUUUUGGGUGAAGGUGCAUUUGGUCAAGUUUGGCGUUGUGAAGCAAACGACAUUGAUGGUAUAGAAGGGGUUACAACUGUGGCUGUGAAAACUUUAAAGGAAAACGCUACUGAAAGCGAAAAGAAGGACCUUAUGACUGAAAUUGAGGUAAUGAAGUCACUUGAACCUCAUAUCAAUGUUGUCCGAUUACUUGCAUGUUGCACCGACAAGGACCCGCUAUUUGUGAUUAUUGAAUUUGUGAAUCGAGGUAAAUUACAAAGUUACCUUAGAAAUUCACGUGCUGAAAUGCACUAUGGGAAUACUCAUGGAAAAUCUAAAACUUUGACCUCGGGUGACUUAACUUCUUUUAUGUAUCAAGUAGCCAAAGGUAUGGAUUACUUAACUUCUCGAGGGAUAAUUCAUAGAGACUUGGCAGCAAGGAAUAUUCUGAUUACUGAUGAACACACUUGUAAAGUUGCAGAUUUUGGAUUUGCUCGAGACGUUGUGACAUCAAAAAUUUAUGAGAGAAAAAGUGAAGGGAAACUCCCAAUACGGUAAAUAAAAAAUAUAAUUAUAAUAAUUCAGGUAUUUGCAGGAAAUAUUAAUGGAGAAGAAUUGGAAAUGUCAAUACAUAACCAAAUAAUAAAAAUAACGAAAAGAAUGAAUGACUUGUGAGUGAGUGAUAACCUGAGAAAACACGAGUGAUAACUUGAGAAUAAUUUGAAGCUUGAUAACUAUAUCGCCUUUUUGAAUCGGAAAAUUGUCACAAAAACGAGUUUCUUCAUAUACGAUAUAAGAACUAUGAAACCGAACAUAACAGUGCGCAGGGCUAGGCCUCUGUUCAAUAUUUUGCUACGUUUCCUUUAACAGACGGAUAAACAGCAUUCGCAGCAUUAAAUAUGUAUAAUAUUAUACCAAUGUUACUUGCUUAUUUACAGAAAUUAAUAAUAAUAAUUAAGUUAGUUUUGUAUUACAGUGCUUAUUGCUGUACUUUUUAUACUCUCGCAACAUGUUGCUACAUACAUAUGUAAGUAUAAUAUUAUAGAUUGGUUCACCUAACAGUUUUUUGUAUCACCUAAGCUUA
This 2581-nucleotide unclassified non-coding RNA is filed under the name Bactrocera tryoni. RNAcentral describes it as "tyrosine kinase receptor Cad96Ca, transcript variant X1". The record is from RNAcentral. Lineage: Eukaryota; Metazoa; Arthropoda; Insecta; Diptera; Tephritidae.